UAGUGGUCUUUGUAAGAGUGUAGAAGCAUUCCUUCUUUGAUAAUGUUAAAUUUGUAAGUUUCAGGUGACAUGUGAAACCUUUUUUAAGAUUUUUCUCAAAGUUUUGAAAAGCUAUUAGCCAGGAUCAUGGUGUAAUAAGACAUAACGUUUUUCCUUUAAAAAAUUUAAGUGCGUGUGUAGAGUUAAGAAGCUGUUGUACAUUUAUGAUUUAAUAAAAUAAUUCUAAAGGAAAUUGUGUAAUUAUAGACUUUUUAUUUUAAAUAAGUUAAGGAGGGGGUAGUAUAAUUAAGGUCCGUUGCAAAGUUGUUGUAUAUUUGUAUAAGAUAAAUGCUGGUCAGAUAUAAGUGUGUUGUCUGCAAUUCAUCAGGAUUAAAUUAUGUAGUUAACUUAAGGGAUAUCUCUGCAAGGAGAAACACCUUUUUAGAUCUUUUAGAUGCUGCUUCUUCAAUGCAAGGAAAGGAAAUAACCCCAGCGAGGUACUCUUCAGGGACACAGGUCUAGUACAAGAGAACUCUUGACACGGCUACUAAGUUCAGCCAGUCUUAAAAAACUGCGCUGUUUCUACCAAGCUUUAACUACAGUAGUUUAUAAGGAUGCCAACGAAAGCUGAGGGUGUAGAGCAAAAUAGUUCUAAGCUUCAGUUAAACUUCUUUAGGUAAGAUCUUAUUUACUUUUCCUUUCUUAAUUUUCCUCCCUAAAAGAUAAACUAAUACUCUUCAAUGGUCUUUCAGUAUAGUGGUUCUUUAUGUAGUUUAACAUAGCUAUAAAUUGAGUUUAACAAUUUAUAAACUCAAGAGAAUUUUUUAAACCCUGUUUUCCAAUCUGUCAUUUACUUAAAUUAUUUUGGUUGUUUUUCCCUUUUUUUCCUUCUUUCCCAUCCCCUCCCCCCUCCAUGAAGAUUCAGGUGCUUAACAUAUCAUUUUUUUCCCUGCUGGAAUUUUAGCAUUGAUAUGAGCCAUGGACAAGUAUAUUCUGCUGCCACAAAGACUGUAAAGUGCUUCAUUUCAACAGCUGAGGCAAGCCAAGUGAUCAUUAAUAAAGCUUUUCUUGGUUCCUUCAGUGGUGUUGGUAGUAAAAUGGAAGGUGUCUUGCUGCAGGUAACUAAUGAAGAAGUGGUCAACCACAGAGUCUUCAAGAAAUAAGAAAUUCUGUACCAUCUGAAAGUAGUUCUUGUUGGUGCCUUCAUUUAAAAAGCACUCUUUAAGAUAAAAGGGAAAUGUUUUCUGAUAAAACAAAUCUUCAUUUAGUUCAGGUUCUUGAUAGAAAACAAUUACAAAAUGAGUGUUGUUUGUAAAACAGUAACAUCAAAUCAGCUAGAGAGAUAAAUGUAUCAUGUUUUAAGUUAGGUUUUGUGAGUAGAUACAUUAAAAUUCUAUUUUAAAGUUUAUAAAAUAAAUACUUUUGUAUCUAAA
This is a long non-coding RNA of Propithecus coquereli (Coquerel's sifaka), 1412 nucleotides long. RefSeq lists it as uncharacterized. Lineage: Eukaryota; Metazoa; Chordata; Mammalia; Primates; Indriidae. The record is from RefSeq and is a predicted model, not a curated record. The transcript has 2 exons.